Anser brachyrhynchus (Pink-footed goose) is the source of this 1711-nucleotide long non-coding RNA. The record is from Ensembl. NCBI's taxonomy places the organism in Eukaryota, Metazoa, Chordata, Aves, Anseriformes, Anatidae.
AAAGUUCAGAGGUGAGUGGUUGCCUCCUCAAAGAGAUCGUCAAGGUUUUGAAACAGAUAGAGCUCUUCAUGCCUGGGAGCUACAAACCAUCUCAGACUUGCUGGGUCUUCAUGGGGUGGGUGAGUCCCAUAGCUGUAGGGUUUUUUACAUGUUCCUUGGGAUUAUUCAGUGGUGACCACUGUCAAAGACAAUAUGUUGAGUGCGGGUCAGCAUAGCACAGCAAUGUCUCCAGUCCUAGACAAGUUUGGCACUGGUUUUGGUCAUCUUUUCUAUAUCCUCACCUUCUCAAAGAUGUAAGUUUUCCUCUCCACUCUGUGAAGAUCAAAGAUCCCAGUCCCAGAAAAGCCCAAUUCAAGAUCUUUUUGGAUGAUAUCACCCAUGCCUCAACUCCCUUCAUGUAACAGACCCCAUACAGGAGCUGGGCUGAAACCGAGCACCGGGCAGAUACCUGACACCAGGACUGAGCCAGACUGUGGCCUGAUUUACGUGGGGGAACAAGGCCAAAGUGAAAUACAACUGCACGAAGGGAAGGAGUUGGCACUGCAGAGUAUGGAUGUGUGCGCUCAGCCAACACGCGAGGUAGGCCAUUUCAGAGCAAUAAUUUUGCUCCUCCUGUACUUUUUUUUUUCCUUAUUUUCACAUAAAAACCUCCAAUGGCCACACUUAGCUGUUACUUCACAUUUCUUAAGGUCAUUUACACCCAAAAUGUGAAAGAUUAGAUCACUGCCUCCAGGCUUGGAUCUUGGUUAUGCAACCGUAGACCUCGAGCCACGCCAGCCAUCUCUGCGGGGUAGUCCCCACAGCAGACUGGUCCAUGAAGGCAUUAAAUAGGCCUGUGUGUGGCCAAACGGUGUAGAGCCCAAAUAUGUGUAAUAGUUUUCAGAUUUCAUCACAUUCCCACGGAACUCUGUGCCUUGUAUCUGUGCCAUUAACCUCUGAACUCUCCAUGAACGUAACACCCACGGCUGGUACAAAUAUAGCCACGGCCAACGUGGACACCUUGGCAUCACCACCACAGUACUGAGGUCUAGGAAAAUCUUAAACUAUGAUUUAAAUGGCAUAAACUAUGAUUUAAAUGGCAUUAUUUGUAUAGUUAGCUGCCCGAUAUUUGGCUUUCACAAUAGCUGUAGGCUGUGAAAGGUUUUGACUUUUGCAUAUGGGGAAGUGUUUAAAAAGCUUGCAGCUCCCAUCACUGCUUUUAAAGGAUGAUAACACAGCUCUUUAUAGUUCUGAGAGGUAUUUUAAUACUUUUUUUUUUUUUAUCAGGAACUUCCAUUGUUUUUCAUUGCUGGUCGUUGGGGGUGGGAGGUUGGUUGAGGGGAGCUGACACUGCUGGCACAGAAGGCUGCAGCUGUUUGGUCUGGGAUUGGAAAGGCUGAAUCACUCUUUGGGGUGAAGUCCAAAACUUCCCACGAAUUGGUCCCACCCCAGCAGGGGACGGAGCUUCAUGUAUGAAAAAUCCAAAAGAUGAGCGGGAGGAGAAACAAAUUUGGUUUAUUGAAGCUUUUUUCCUUCCACAAACUGGGGGCUAAGAAGAAAUAAUAAGACAGUGAUUAUUAUGGUCACCAGAUGGGUCAGCCACAUCGGUUCAGCCACUCCUCGGAGGGACCAAGCAAAAAGAAAGGAAGGAUUUGAUCUGUUGGUAUUAACCUGAGGUAACACGGAUGCACAGUGGGAAUGGGAAAUACCUUCCACAAUACAGGGACAGGCU